UUCAUUCUUCCUCGGCGUCCCUGGAGGACUGGAGACUGAUGCAUGAGGGGGCCACGGAGGCGCAGGAGCGGUGGUGAUGGUCUGGGAAGCGGAGCUGAAGUGCCCUGGGCUUUGGUGAGGCGUGACAGUUUAUCAUGACCGUGUUCAGGCAGGAAAACGUGGAUGAUUACUACGACACCGGCGAGGAACUUGGCAGUGGACAGUUUGCGGUUGUGAAGAAAUGUCGUGAGAAAAGCACCGGCCUCCAGUAUGCUGCCAAAUUCAUCAAGAAAAGGAGGACUAAGUCCAGCCGGCGGGGUGUGAGCCGUGAGGACAUCGAGCGGGAAGUCAGCAUCCUGAAGGAGAUCCAGCACCCCAAUGUCAUCACCCUGCACGAGGUCUAUGAGAACAAGACGGACGUCAUUCUGAUCUUGGAACUCCUGAGAACAUAAUGCUUUUGGAUAGAAAUGUCCCCAAACCUCGGAUCAAGAUCAUUGACUUUGGGUUGGCCCAUAAAAUUGACUUUGGAAAUGAAUUUAAAAACAUAUUUGGGACUCCAGAGUUUGUCG
This 548-nucleotide small RNA is filed under the name Pongo abelii (Sumatran orangutan). RNAcentral describes it as "processed transcript". The record is from RNAcentral. Lineage: Eukaryota; Metazoa; Chordata; Mammalia; Primates; Hominidae.